Molecule: ribosomal RNA, 467 nt
Filed under: uncultured bacterium
Lineage: Bacteria
Description: partial 16S ribosomal RNA
Rfam family: Bacterial small subunit ribosomal RNA
Source: RNAcentral
GACGAACGCUGGCGGCGUGCUUAACACAUGCAAGUCGAACGGAAAGGCCCUGCUUUUGUGGGGUGCUCGAGUGGCGAACGGGUGAGUAACACGUGAGUAACCUGCCCUUGACUUUGGGAUAACUUCAGGAAACUGGGGCUAAUACCGGAUAGGAGCUCCUGCUGCAUGGUGGGGGUUGGAAAGUUUCGGCGGUUGGGGAUGGACUCGCGGCUUAUCAGCUUGUUGGUGGGGUAGUGGCUCACCAAGGCUUUGACGGGUAGCCGGCCUGAGAGGGUGGCCGGCCACAUUGGGACUGAGAUACGGCCCAGACUCCUACGGGAGGCAGCAGUGGGGAAUAUUGCACAAUGGGCGGAAGCCUGAUGCAGCAACGCCGCGUGCGGGAUGACGGCCUUCGGGUUGUAAACCGCUUUCGCCUGUGACGAAGCGUGAGUGACGGUAAUGGGUAAAGAAGCACCGGCUAACUACGU